UAAUAAUGAUAAUCAUCGUAAUGGUAAUAAUAAUAGUAAUAAUAAUAAUAAUAAUAAUAAUAUUUCUAUACGUAUGUUUGUCAUGUAUAUGUAUAUAUAAACAAAUAUAAUUAUGCUUAUCUUGUAAGAAGGGAUAGAGUUUAUAAUAACGCUAAACAAUAUAUGCAAUACAGUUCUCUUUUGUUAUUUUUGCUGUUGUUUCUGUUGUCAAUUCUUUUACCACAAUUAUUCUCAUCACGAUAGUCAUACAGUCAAAGAUGUUAAGAAUAAGAUUUAUCAUAAUAGUAAAUAGAUAAUAGUAAACAUGUGUAUGUACAAUUUUAUCGUUGAAUGCCAUUCUUCAAAUGCUGCAAAUAUAUAUAAGUUCGAUUACAGUUUAUGCAGUGUUUUGUGCAAACUCGACGGAUACACUUUUAUAAGUUUACAUUUUACAAUUUUGUCGAAUCGACAUAGCGCAUUUACGUUGAUCAAUCGAUUAAAUACAGAAACAAUGAAUUGAUGAUUUUCAUAAUAAAUAUGAUAUAACCACAAAAUCGUAUGCUAAUCACACACUUUUUCUUUAGUUUGUUGCGUAAUUAUUUUUUAAUUGCGUUUCUUUUCUUUAUUCUAUAUAUAUAUAUAUAAGUAUAUCCGCCGAACAAACAUUGCAUAAAACCAACAAGAGAAACGAAGUCUAAAGCUACGAUUUCCCUAGAAAAAUUGAUUAAAAUCGCGAUUUUGGACGUCUCCUCGUUCGUCCAACCUCUUUUUAUCACGAUACAUUUCUUGCGAUUACCCCUGUUCCGUUACAAUUUAUUCUUCUAAUAUUUCGUCUGACUAACUGUUUCUCAUUUUCCAGAAGGCAGUUUUAUUUGCACAUGUGGGAGAAAUGAAAAAAACCACGAUACAUCGAUCAAAUAACUGAUCAAUAUCUGCUCUUCUUCGGACAUUUCAAUUAUUAACCUCGAAAAUUUCGUUUAUUUUUCCAUAUUUUUUUUAUUUUUUUAUUUUUUCUUUGUUAACUCGAUAUGUACAUACGAUUAUCGAUAUAAGAUUAUGGAUCACAAAUUGCGAUUAGCAAGCAAUCAAUGACAUUUAACGAUAAUUACAAAAUAAUGGUAACCGUAUGGUAUAUAGAUAUAUACACACAUGUGCACAAAUUUUUAUAUGUAUAUAUAUAUAUAUUUACUGUCGCAGCGAUAAUACAGAAUAAUCAGUCGUAACAGGUACAUAAAAAUAGUGGCGAAUUCGAUCGAUUGUAUUAUAUUUUAUGUUAAAUUUAUAUGUUAUAAUUUUAUAUGUAUAAUAUUUUAUUUUAUUUAAAAUAUAUGGAAGUUUUUUCUCAUAAUUUAAUGUAUAUAUUUAUACAAGAAAUUGUAAUAAAUUAACUUGAAAAUAAAAAAUAUGAUGGUUCCAUAUGAAAUUUUUCGUGUAAAUUUAUCGAUAAAUUCGGUAAUCGAAAAUCGUUGUUCGAUAUCGAGUGCAACUAAUCUCUAGGGAAAAAAGGCGAUUUCACUUGCGAUCGAUCGGAUUCGUCAUUGCAACGAACGUCAUGGCAAAGUAAAGAACGAUUCAGUGUUAUAUAGCAAAAUUUUUUCCUUGAACUUUCAAAACAGACAUCAUGCCAGAUACUACGAAGAAUGAGAAUAGAAAAAAACUAGAAUGGAAAAGAAAUGGAUAACCAAGGAAAACGUGAUUAUCGUGCAAGCAAAAAAUGGAUAAGUCGAGUUUUAGUUUAAAAGAGGACAAGCGGAUUUUUGGUUACAUAAUCCUGAAUCACCAUUAUCGUGUCACCCUCGUCGUAACGCAGCUGAAAUGACCAUCACAAUAUCGAACAGCAGUAACAGAUAAUAUACAUUAUGUAUAUUAACUUUACCAAUAGAUCUCCGAUUUUUAUUUUAUUUUCAUCUUCACUUGAUCGUAAUUCUUGCACGCCGCUAUCUAUGUUUGGCUGCCGGAAGUGGCCUUACUCUAUCGUACUUUCCGUUCUUCUAAUAUCUACGGAUCUUUAUAAAUCCAACGUGACUUUCCAUUGCGUGACAAUGGGAGCUUUUCGUCGCGGUAUCCGCCCAUCUUCUCUUUCACUUUUCAUCGAUCCCUAAAGAGAGGAGGUAGAAAAAACAGCGAAAACGACGAGAAAGAUCCGCGACUCGAUCGCGAAACCGCUUUAUUACUAGAAACAUUAUAUGAUAAGGAGCGUGGCACAGUUUUGACGCUACAAUCGUUCACGGGGCUGGCCACGAUCGAAGAAAAUGGGGACACGACGAAAAGCGCGGGAACGCUUUAACGAAUGAAGAAGGAGUUCGGGGAGGCAUUCAGAACUAAAUACAUAACAACUAGCACAGGAAGCAAUUAAUUUAAAAAGCAAUGAGAAAACAUUGAUAAAAUUAUCGCUUUUGCAUCAAGAGAUGGCUGAGAUUCUUAAAAAACAGUGAAUCUUAAAAAGAAAAGUCGAUAUACUAUAAAACGAAAGUUACAUUGCAAGAAACCGACUGAUUAAAAUUAAUUAAAUAUCUACACUUUGAUCAGAGCUAUAAUUAUGUAAUGAGGGAUAAGUGGUCUUCGUGCGAAGAGGCCGCAAGAAUCAUAAAGGAAUUAUAGUUUGGCACUGAUACCCGUCAGCUUGAACUUAAUACGUUCGCGGAGCUGGAGAGAACCAGCAUUGGGAAGUCACGUAUUCCUAUUCGAUCCUAUUGCUGAUGGACUUUAUGGCACAUCGAAUAUCUUUCUUAAAACGCUUUGAUUCCGUUUCGAAACUAUGGCGUCUCUUGCCUUAUGCAUCUAGCAUACCUUCAAUGAAAAGAAAAGAAAAAAAAACAAAAACUACAACAUAACUACGAAACAACACUAACAAUUGUCCAUCAUUCGACUGAUUCGAAAUAUAUCUUUUCAGAGACUACAAAAACUCCACUUCCGGCACCAGGUACAAGCAGCGUGUGGCUGUGGCCCAGACUUACGUCGGAUAGUAGCAAGAACACACAUUAAAAUCAUAGAAGAUCAACGCUAUUAGACGUGUUAUGCAAGUAGCUAUCCGCUUUAUUUUCCCUUUAAUUUUCUACAAACCAUUUCACUUGGUUCAAAGAAUAAAUCAGAUCUGCGGAUGCUCUAA
Molecule: RNA transcript, 3088 nt
Organism: Apis laboriosa (Himalayan honeybee)
Lineage: Eukaryota; Metazoa; Arthropoda; Insecta; Hymenoptera; Apidae
Exons: 3
Source: RefSeq, a predicted model, not a curated record